This 446-nucleotide ribosomal RNA is filed under the name uncultured bacterium. Its description in RNAcentral is "partial 16S ribosomal RNA". It matches the Rfam family "Bacterial small subunit ribosomal RNA", at positions 338 to 795 of the family's 1533-position model. The record is from RNAcentral.
CCUACGGGGGGCUGCAGUCGAGAAUCAUUCACAAUGGGGGAAACCCUGAUGGUGCGACGCCGCGUGGGGGAAUGAAGGUCUUCGGAUUGUAAACCCCUGUCAUGUGGGAGCAAAUUAAAAAGAUAGUACCACAAGAGGAAGAGACGGCUAACUCUGUGCCAGCAGCCGCGGUAAUACAGAGGUCUCAAGCGUUGUUCGGAAUCACUGGGCGUAAAGCGUGCGUAGGCUGUUUCGUACGUCGUGUGUGAAAGGCGCGGGCUCAACCCGCGGAAGGCACAUGAUACUGCGAGACUAGAGUAAGGGAGGGGGAACCGGAAUUCUCGGUGUAGCAGUGAAAUGCGUAGAUAUCGAGAGGAACACUCGUGGCGAAGGCGGGUUCCUGGACAUUAACUGACGCUGAGGCACGAAGGCCAGGGGAGCGAAAGGGAUUAGAUACCCGGGUAGUC